GAGCGAGGGCCGCCGCGCUGCGGCCCGCCUCCCGGCUCGGAGGUAGGCUGAGACGGGAGGGUCCUCGGCUAAAGCCAAAGGCGGAUCAAAGUGGUGGGAGUCGCGCCGCGGCCGCGGAGACGUGAAGGCCCUCCGCACUCCUCCUCGGCAUCCGGGUCGGUGCUCGCCCUCGCUGUCCUGUCCCCGGCCCCAUGGAGAAGACGGAGCUGAUCCAGAAGGCCAAGCUGGCCGAGCAGGCCGAGCGCUACGACGACAUGGCCACCUGCAUGAAGGCCGUGACGGAGCAGGGCGCCGAGCUGUCCAACGAGGAGCGCAACCUGCUCUCGGUGGCCUACAAGAACGUGGUCGGAGGCCGCAGGUCCGCCUGGAGGGUCAUCUCGAGCAUCGAGCAGAAGACCGACACCUCCGACAAGAAGCUGCAGCUGAUUAAGGACUAUCGGGAGAAAGUGGAGUCUGAACUGCGGUCCAUCUGCACCACGGUCCUGGAAUUGUUGGAUAAGUAUUUAAUAGCCAAUGCAACUAAUCCAGAGAGUAAGGUCUUCUAUCUGAAGAUGAAGGGAGAUUACUUCCGGUACCUUGCUGAAGUUGCUUGUGGUGAUGAUCGGAAACAAACGAUAGAUAAUUCCCAAGGAGCUUACCAAGAGGCUUUUGAUAUAAGCAAGAAAGAGAUGCAACCCACACACCCAAUCCGCCUGGGGCUGGCUCUUAACUUUUCUGUAUUUUACUAUGAGAUCCUUAAUAACCCAGAACUUGCCUGCACACUGGCUAAAACGGCUUUUGAUGAGGCCAUUGCAGAGCUUGACACACUGAAUGAAGACUCAUACAAAGACAGCACCCUCAUCAUGCAGUUGCUUAGAGACAACCUAACAAGAGACUAACAUCCUACCUAAUUCAAGAACCGUAUCUACAUAUCUUCACGCACACAUGCUGCUUCCCUAUAACUUAACAUCGUUCACUCCUGUUUAACUCUUUGCAGCAUACAAAUUAUGGACAUCAGACAGUGCAGGAGAAGAAUGUGAUGCGGCAGAAGGGGCAGAGAACUAAGUGCAUACAGGGUGUCAUCCUUCUUCCCCUCAAGAAACCUUUUUACUCAUCUCCAUUCCUUAUUCCAUUUGGAUUUCCUAUAGCAAAGAAACCCAUUCAUGUGUAUGGAAUCAACUGUUUAUAGUCUUUUCACGCCGCAGCUUUGGGAAAACUCCAUUCCUUGAUUUGUGUUUGUCUUGGCCUUUCUGGUGUGCAGUUACUGCUGUAGAAAAGUAUUAAUAGCUUCAUUUCAUAUAAACAUAAGUAACUUCCAAACACUUAUGUAGAGGACUAAAAAUGUAUCUGGUAUUUAAGUAAUCUGAACCAGUUCUGCAAGUGACUGUGUUUUGUAUUACUGUGAAGAUAUGAAAAUGUAGUUAAUUACAGUUUAAAGAGUGUUCUGCAUAACUUCCUGAUUUCUACAUUCCCUCCCUUACUCUUCUUCGGGGGUUUUCUUUCAGUAAAGCAACUUUUCCAUCCUCUUAAUAUAUUCCUUUUUGGUAGGAAUCCAGAAGUAUUAGAUUGAAUGGAAAAGCAGUUGACAUUUUGAGGCUGGAGGUCACAAAUUAAAAUGCCUCCUGUAUCAUAUAUGAUGGAGGUCUUGCGUAUCUGUGACAACAGGGAGUUUCCUCAUUCAUUCUUCAUUUGCUGCUGUUUAAGUUGACAACUUCCCUUCCCAAUAAAAAUUCACUUACACCUCCUGCCUUUGUAGUUCUGGUAUUCACUUUACGAUGUAAUAGAAGUAGCAUGUUGCUGCCAGAAUACAAGCAUUGCUUUUGGCAAAUGAAAGUGCAUGUCAUUUCUUAAUACACUAGAAAGGGGAAAUAAAGUACACAAGUCCAAGUCUAAAACUUUAGUACUUUUCCAUGCAGAUUUGUGCACAUGUGAGAGGGUGUCCAGUUUGUCUAGUGAUUGUUAGAGAGUUGGACCACUAUUGUAUGUUGCUAAUAAUCAUCGACUGUAGUCCCAAAAAGGCCUUGUGAAAAUGUUAUGCCCUAUGUAACAACAGAGUAACAUAAAAUAAAAUUACAUUUUAUAAACCA
Aethalodelphis obliquidens (Pacific white-sided dolphin) is the source of this 2066-nucleotide RNA transcript. It is a transcript of the gene named tyrosine 3-monooxygenase/tryptophan 5-monooxygenase activation protein theta, with no coding region annotated. The record is from RefSeq and is a predicted model, not a curated record. Lineage: Eukaryota; Metazoa; Chordata; Mammalia; Artiodactyla; Delphinidae. The transcript is spliced from 7 exons.